Molecule: long non-coding RNA, 348 nt
Filed under: Capsella rubella
Lineage: Eukaryota; Viridiplantae; Streptophyta; Magnoliopsida; Brassicales; Brassicaceae
Description: long non-coding RNA (CRUB_LNC000572)
Source: RNAcentral
CCCAGUUCCUGUUCCAUUAGGGAAUCCAAACAAACCUUCCAGCUCUCUGAUGGUCAGCAGAUACUCAUGAUCAUGGAUGGUGAAGGUGAUGUAUCCCAAUCCUCCAUCCGACUCUAUGUCCGGAUCAUCCUCAUAAAGAUGUAUGGCAAGCGUACAGAGGAACUGAAUUGUCUCCUCUCGGUAUGCGUUUCGCGGACUAGUCAUGAGGGUGCUGAGAUGACAAUGCUCAAACAUAUACUCGAUAUCACUCGAGAUAGCCAGCUCAUCCAUCGUCUGCUGGCAAGGGUACCUCGUGCCCUGAAACUCAUGCUGCUGAAACAGCUUGUAAUACUCUCCCGGGGCUAACCA